GUUAGAGAUGAAGCAACACUAAAGAUGGACUGAAGUCGGGGUGAAGAAUGAUUGGACUUGGCGUUGGGUGCAGAAAACGGAUGACACAGGGAUGGCACUUGGACUCCUGGCUCUGAUAACCAGGUGGCCAAAGUAUUGGAGCAUCAGCUUCAGCAUCAGUCCUUCUAAUGAGAUCAUCCUGAGUAAACUACACAUAUCAUGGCUCCAUUCAGCAUAUCUAAGUCCUUCAAAAAUGGACUUCAUUCUGGAGUUGUGGUGGGCAACCUGCAUCCCGGGGGCCCUGAGAAGAGACUCUGUCCAUUUGCCAUGAGUCAGCAAGAACCAGUGACCCUGCACUCAUCUCUCUGUGGCAGGCUUGGAUGGCCCUGCUCAGUCAGGCCAUGCUCCUACAG
This 392-nucleotide long non-coding RNA is filed under the name Bos grunniens (domestic yak). RNAcentral describes it as "lncRNA (ENSBGRG00000006344.1)". The record is from RNAcentral. Lineage: Eukaryota; Metazoa; Chordata; Mammalia; Artiodactyla; Bovidae.